UCCGACAUAGCUCAGUUGGUAGAGCAGGCGGCUGUUAACCGCCCGGUCGUAGGUUCGAGUCCUACUGUCGGAGCCA
Molecule: transfer RNA, 76 nt
Filed under: Myxococcales bacterium
Lineage: Bacteria; Pseudomonadati; Myxococcota; Myxococcia; Myxococcales
Description: tRNA-Asn
Rfam family: tRNA
About the family: Transfer RNA (tRNA) molecules are approximately 80 nucleotides in length. Their secondary structure includes four short double-helical elements and three loops (D, anti-codon, and T loops).
Source: RNAcentral